Molecule: ribosomal RNA, 253 nt
Filed under: uncultured bacterium
Lineage: Bacteria
Description: partial 16S ribosomal RNA
Rfam family: Bacterial small subunit ribosomal RNA
Source: RNAcentral
UACGAAGGGGGCUAGCGUUGCUCGGAAUCACUGGGCGUAAAGGGUGCGUAGGCGGGUUUUUAAGUCAGAGGUGAAAUCCUGGAGCUCAACUCCAGAACUGCCUUUGAUACUGAGAAUCUUGAGUUCGGGAGAGGUGAGUGGAACUGCGAUUGUAGAGGUGAAAUUCGUAGAUAUUCGCAAGAACACCAGUGGCGAAGGCGGCUCACUGGCCCGGUACUGACGCUGAGGUGCGAAAGCGUGGGGAGCAAACAGG